UACAGAGGGGGCAAGCGUUGUUCGGAAUUACUGGGCGUAAAGGGCGCGUAGGCGGCCUGUUAAGUCGAACGUGAAAUCCCCGGGCUCAACCUGGGAAUGGCGAUGGAUACUGGCGAGCUAGAGUGUGUCAGAGGAUGGUGGAAUUCCCGGUGUAGCGGUGAAAUUCGUAGAUAUUCAGAGGAACAUCAGAAGCGAAGGCGGCUAUCUGGACCAUUACUGACGCUGAGGUGCGAAAGCGUGGGGAUCAAACAGG
RNAcentral lists this ribosomal RNA (253 nucleotides) under uncultured bacterium. RNAcentral describes it as "partial 16S ribosomal RNA". It matches the Rfam family "Bacterial small subunit ribosomal RNA", at positions 524 to 776 of the family's 1533-position model. The record is from RNAcentral.